UACGUAGGGUGCAGGUGUUAAUCGGAAUUACUGGGCGUAAAGCGUGCGCAGGCGGUUUCUUAAGUCAGAUGUGAAAGCCCCGGGCUUAACCUGGGAACUGCGUUUGAAACUGGGAGACUUGAGUGUGGCAGAGGGGGGUGGAAUUCCACGUGUAGCAGUGAAAUGCGUAGAUAUGUGGAGGAACACCAAUGGCGAAGGCAGCCCCCUGGGUCAACACUGACGCUCAUGCACGAAAGCGUGGGGAGCAAACAGG
This 253-nucleotide ribosomal RNA is filed under the name uncultured bacterium. RNAcentral describes it as "partial 16S ribosomal RNA". It matches the Rfam family "Bacterial small subunit ribosomal RNA", at positions 524 to 776 of the family's 1533-position model. The record is from RNAcentral.